GUAAAUAUAGUUUAAACAAAACUUUAGAUUGUGAAUCUGAUAAUAGAGCUUAACACCUCUUAUUUACC
RNAcentral lists this transfer RNA (68 nucleotides) under Petaurista caniceps (gray-headed giant flying squirrel). RNAcentral describes it as "Petaurista elegans caniceps tRNA-His". It matches the Rfam family "tRNA". Rfam says of the family: Transfer RNA (tRNA) molecules are approximately 80 nucleotides in length. Lineage: Eukaryota; Metazoa; Chordata; Mammalia; Rodentia; Sciuridae. The record is from RNAcentral.